UCAAAAAAUUUCCCCUUCUCUAGCCGAUCUUCGUCGCGCACGGCGCCGCCAGCCGACCAGGUCGCCGCCGCGUCGUCUUCUCAUCCGCUGACCUCACGUCGCCGCUUCCUUCCCCGUCCCCGUCCCCGUCGCCCCUUCUCUCAAGCUGCCGGCUGGCGCUCUCUGUUCCCCGGGUCGUCCACUCCACGCCGUCGGUUCGACCCAGGAGCGGCAGGGGUAGAGGCGCAGUUCUACUCCAGGCUCCGCAUCCAAGUAGUACGAUUCCUAAUUUUUUUGGUCGACCGGUCAUUUUGGUUUGUUAAUCUUCCUGCACUGACCACUUGCUGCUGCUGAUGGCGCAUAUUGCAAAGUAUGGCGAGGUUGAGUAUCUCAAAGUAGAAAUCUCAGAGACGCCGCUUCCUGCCGUCUUCGUGCGAUGGAGGAGUUCUAGGGUUAGCUGUUCGAUCGGCGACUGCCGCGAGCUGGUAGCACAUCAGCUUGCUAUGAUCUGCCUUCUCUGUUGAUCAAGGUUGCUUUGCUGGUUCUGCUCUUGCUCGGCCAUCCCGUUGCAGGUUGCCACCGAUGGGAAUACAGCCAAUGGACAGGUUUUGCUUGUCAGCGACCAGAACAAGAACAAGUCAAUGCUUAUCUGUAUAUUCAACUUUGUGGAUGAUUGGAGGCUCUAUGUUCAUAGUUUAUAUUGGUCAUCUUUAUAUCUGGGCCAUGGUCGCUGUAUUGGUCUAUCAUUCAUCUACCGGUUAAUUGACCAUAGAAAGGUCAUGGCAUUAAUAGGAUAUAUUUUCCUUCUUUCCUUUACAGAAUAGAUUAUUAUCAGGAUAACAAUGACUCAAUACAUUGCUUGACAGAAUGAUUGAGAUUAACUAUGAGGGAGUUUAUUCCUAGCUUCUAGCCCUACAUAAAAAUGGCUGAUGGUUCAGUUCCUCAUUUGGUGAUUUUUUCUUAUUCUCCAUCUAUAUUAUACCAAGAUGAUGCCCUUGAAAGAGUGAGACAAAUACAUCAUCUGCUCAAGCUCACAGUUGGCCGAACUGAAAGGUUUUAUCUUUCUGAAAAUUUUCCUCUAGUUAGUAAGGGGCGGUAAAUGCAAGCACUCUUAAGGCUUUUCCAGUUUCCUCUAAUCUAGUGGCAGCACAUUGAUGCUUCAAUUUUAAGUGGGUCAUGCUAGCUGAACAAAAACUUAAUUUUGUGUUCCUUGUACCUAAUUGUGCCUUCACGGUUCUUGUGAUGGUUGCUUGUGAGUGUUUGUUUGGUAUCUCUAUAUAGGAUUUGAAAUUGAUGUAAGAUGUGUGCUGCUACAAUUUUCUGAAGUAACUUACUGAUACUGAUAUGUGUGAACUUAUUGCUACUGGAAAUCGUUCCAGUAAAUUAGUAUUGACAUUAUGUCCUACUGUUAAUCAGGGCAUUAUUUCUGCUGCAUGCCCAAGUAUUUCCACAUCUUGUUCUGGUGAUAUAGGCUACUUAUUGUUAGUUCAUUGUAGGUCUCUUGAAGCUUUAUAUAAAUGUUUACAUUUAUUCUUACAUAAUAAUACUAAAUGGAGCAGAUGGCCGAUGCUCACGCUCUGUUUUGGGGCUUUUGUCGCUUUUCUCUGAAAUUACCACCCUUUCUUAUUUUUCAGGUUCUUGAUUGGAUUACGUAUUUUGGGCACUUUGCUGGUACCAUCUUCCUUGAGGUGAGAGUUGAUGUAUGUGGUGAUGUGCAUGUGAUAUUGUUGUGCGUGCCAGUUUCAUAUACCAUUUCCACACUGCUGCAAGAGGGAAAGAAUAUUAGUGAAGGAUUUCUCUAUUAAUGACAUUAUCUUGAACGUCCUACAAGGAAGUUGCUCCUGAUGCCUGCAAAACCUUUUGAACCUAAUAAAUCAUGCUAUGUCUGCUCUGAGACCCCUCUUCUGCUGGAUGUUAACACCAAGGCCACAAAGCUUAGGGAGGUUAUCGACAAGAUUGGCUCUACACUUGUUUUUGAAGAUGCUGAUGGCUUAGAGGAAGACGAGACUGCAACUAUGCUUUAAACCUUGAGAAUGGAAGUUUGACGAGGAGAAAGAGACUGACAGAAUGGUUUUAUCUGGAUGGUCUGCUCCGGUGGAGGAACAAAUUAACAGUAAUGGGGAGAACGAAUCGACAGCUUCUUCAUCCUGUGCGCAUGCCACUGAUGACACUAUUGAGGAUCCAUCGACUAAACCUCGGAUGAAGCGCAAGCUGGGUGAACUAUUGAAAACAAAGGAAAAGUGUGUUGCAUCCAGUAGUGCUUAGGUGUUUUGGUUUGACAACUCUGGUUGAUAUGUGGUCUACGCUAUAGCAGAUUGUAUAUGCUGAUUCAAGUAUUCUAGCAAUUUACCAAGUUAAGCUAGUCUUUCUUUGAAUUUAUGGCUGAUAUGAAUAUGAUGUAUGAUGAUUUUUUGCGGAUUUAUGAAUUAUUUGAG
Molecule: long non-coding RNA, 2414 nt
Organism: Triticum aestivum (bread wheat)
Lineage: Eukaryota; Viridiplantae; Streptophyta; Magnoliopsida; Poales; Poaceae
Exons: 6
Source: RefSeq, a predicted model, not a curated record